Molecule: long non-coding RNA, 908 nt
Filed under: Mus spicilegus (steppe mouse)
Lineage: Eukaryota; Metazoa; Chordata; Mammalia; Rodentia; Muridae
Description: lncRNA (ENSMSIG00000028103.1)
Source: RNAcentral
CAUGCCUUUAAUUCCUUCACUAGAGAGACUGGGGUGGUCAGGUCUUUGAUUCCUAGACCAAUCUGGUUUACAAAGUGAGGUACAGGCCAGCCAGAACUGCAUAGUUAGGCCCUGUCUCAAAAACAAAACAAGCAAACAAAUUGGAGUAUACACUCACAAGUCCAUGCCUAAAUUCCCAGACCCAUGUGCACAUCCAAGCAUCCAGGGAGAGAGAAUUGUCCAGCUGUUAUGUAUUCAAGAGCCGUUCUGAUCUUCUUGGUGGAAUACUUUCUCUUACCAGGAUAUCAUCACCAGAAAGAUCUUAAACUGAGCUUUCAGCAAGCUACUCCUCUGCUCUUAUAGCCCCAGCUGACACUGCAAAUGGAGACAUCCCUACUACAAACUGCAGGCUCAGAGCUGAGGUCAUGCUGUGUAGAAGACUGUGUGAGUCCCAUAAUGAUGAGUUCACUGGUGGUUCUGGUAGAGGCGUCAUAGGGAGGGAGGAAGAUCAGCCUCUGUGGUGUAUACAUCAGCACAGCACCUCAAGGAUCAUCCAGACUGUGAAUGAACCACACACUCCUUUUCCAGACUCCUACAGUUACUGCAAAUUUGUCUGUCACCUUCAACACUGUCAGUUCUACAGCAUACUUGGGCUUAAAAAAAAACUACACCCAGCUAGCUGUGCAUAAUGCUGCAAAUGCUCAAAGGCAUAGAGCAGCAUUAUGCUUCUGUGUCACCAGGGACUGGCUGAGAGAUUAUGAUGACAUCUUUGGGCCCACCCAGUGCAUUGUGGGGCACAUCACCUUCAUUACACCUGGAUGGAUGCUGGUUCCUUAGGAAUUGGACAGCGGUGUGGAGUGGAGCAGCACAUUCCUCCCAUAGAGGCAAUGUCCAGGGCAGCUCAUUUGCUCUGAUCACUUUCCACUGGG